UUUGGAAGUAGAGAGCCCACGUGCAGCCCCAGCUUGGUCCCUCCCUGGAGCUCAGGGUUGAGGUCCCUCCCUGGCAUCCUGGGCAGGAGACCCCCUGACACUGCCUCCAUCUCAGUUGAAGGAAGGAAGAUCUAGUGCCUUCUUCUGGAGGACUUGGUGAGGGAUGGAGGAGGGGGGAUGUUCAGAGCAUGUCUGCUCCACAUGCUGCCUGGGCCAAUACUGAGCACACCGCACUGGGCCACCUCACUGAACCCCUCUGAUCGGACACCCAGAGCAGUGCUAUGCCCUUCCAAGUGGCUGCCCAGGAGUUUCCACUGGGACGUGAAAAGGAAGGAGGAGAAAUCAUCUUUCUGUUUGGUUUUAUCUCAUCCUUUACAAGUUUUAUCUGUGUUUACGGGGCAGGAGUGUGUUUGCACAGAACUAUGGUAUAUAAUUUUUAACCGGAUGCGACUACCUAUCUCAGGAGUGCCCACUUGAACUCGGUCUUUACGGAAGAGGGUAUGUCAUCAGUGACAUCUGGAGAGGAUCGUCCAGAGGGGACAACCGAGUCACGUAGCCGGCCCUUCUUCACUCUCUGGCCUCCCUCGUCUUCCUGGCUUCAUCAUCUAACAGUCUCCUCCCUUCCUCCCCUCCCGAAGCCUCCGCGCGACAUCAUGGUUCCACUGCCCGUCAACUUCCUGUUGCUGGAAUAUGCUUUGUGCUUUCAGGUCUGCAGCGCUGGCAGUCUUCCGUCUGGGGGCCCAACCUUCCUUGAGCACCUGCAAAUUCAGAUGCCCCCGGCUCCUCUUCCCUGCCGCUUACAACCCCCUGCAGUUGCCUUCAUUCACCUAAGUCACUCUAUUGUGGUCAUUUACCUCACCUGCUGGUGCAUGUGUCUAGACGAGAAGCCCCUUGAGGGCCAGACCCAGGCCCUAGUCACAUCUACAUCCCAUCCACAUCCCGAACAGACAGCAGGAACCUCGGGACAGACCCAGCGGUGCUUGUGGGAGCUGGCGGGGCCGUUUCGGCCUUCUUCUGCAGACCCCGUCUGGGAGGGGAUGGGGCGGCUGAGCCAUGUGCACCACCCUCUUCCUGCUCAGCACCUUGGCCAUGCUCUGGCGCCGUCGGUUCGCCAACCGGGUCCAACCAGAGCCCAGCGGACUCGAUGGGGCGGUCGUGGGCAGCAACGUGGACACAGACCUCCAGUCCUCAGGCAGGGAGAAAGAGACUCUGAAGUAAGUCCUCAUCUCUUCAGGCAGAGCUCGGCCCCGGGGACUGCGAUCAGCUGGCAGAGGCAGGAAUGGCCAGGCGUGGGUCUGUGUGAGCGCAUGUGCGCGCCCACACGCGUUUAUUGCCAUAUGCAGAAGCCGGCUGAACGAUGCAUUAAAAGAAAUUAUUUAACGUGUUCCUUGGCCAUCUAUUUAACAAGCACGUACCGGGAGCCUGCAACAUACACACCUUGUGGUAGGUGCCAGCGAUGAAGGGGGACAGUGCCCGACCUGCCAGUGAGGACGACAGAAAGAUCCUGGCCGAGGGAGCCCAGUCGCGCCCGCUCAGCCACUGCCUGGUCAUAUGACCUUUCCUUCUCCGGACCUCAGUCUCCCCAUUUACCAGGCAUGUGCUGAGUCGAACCCAAGUGGGCUGGUGCCAGGAUGUAAAGGACUGAUGACCACCCUCAGAGAAAGAACCGUCUGGUAAAAUGAAGGCGAUGGACCGCUUGACCUCUGGGGGCCCUCCAGACUCUCCCGAUCAAAAGAGACUAUAAUGGACUGUCUUUGGAGAUGCUGGCAGUGAUCCGCCCACUCGGCAAACGUUUAUGGAGCGCCUGUGUGCCAGGCACUGUGGAUGCAGAAAUGAAGAAUUCCUGCCACAGACAAUCAGGAAAUUGGGCCAAGCAGAAGAAACAGACGCUUGACAACAGGCAGCACACAGGCUGGUGACCCCAGGACUGUCUCAGCAUCUGCCUGUUCCCUGCCUGUGGCAGGGGGAGGGGAAACCAAGCGGACCGCCGUGGUCUUGUCCGGGUGAGAGACGAGAUCAGAGCUCAAGAGAGCGUGGCGUUCCUAAGGAUAUGCACACGUCGGUGGGAUCCCCAAACAGACACGGGGAAGGUGAUCCGAUGGAGGAAAAAAAAAAAAAGCCCUUUGGAGAGAAUACAGAAAGCGUUAGCCGUCACAGAAACACGGAAAGAUUGGACUUGAUCGAAUUCUUGGAAAGACACUAUUUGCCAAGCAAAAAUCUGAGAAAGGACCUGUAUCCAAAAUAUACAAAGAAGUUUUACAAUUCAAUAAGAAGACAGCCCAGGGAAAGGGGGAGGGUUUUGAUAGACACUUCACAAGAAGGUAUCCAUACGGCCAAUAAACACAUAAAAAAAGAUACACAGUAGUGUGAGUCAUCAAGGAAAUUAAAUGCAAAUUAAAAAACAUGCAAAUGAAAACCACAUUGAGAUACUAGUUCACGCUCACAUGAAUGCGUUAAGAAGACAGACCAUAACAGGCGUUGGUGAAGGUACGGAGCAGCUGUUACCCUGGAAGACACUGCUGGGAAACCAGUUUGGCUGUUUCCUAGCAAGUUAUCCAAGAGGAAUGAAAACACAGGGCCACACCAAGGUUCGUACAGAGGUGUUCACAGCAGUGUUAUUAAUAACGGCUCCAAAGUGGAAACAACCCGAAUAUCCAUCAACAGGUGAAUGAAUAAACGAGGGCUGUACGGAAUUGUGGUCAGCAAUGAAAAGGCGACGGACCACUCUGUGGGCCACAACCCGGGGCACCGCGAGGAGCCAGGCACAAAAGAACACCCUCCUGUAUGAAUCCGUUUAUAGGAGAUUCUAGAACAGGCAGAACUAAUCUGCAGCGACAGAAAGCAGAUCAGUGGUUGCCUGGGGCCAGGGCUGGAUCUGGAGACUGAAAUAAAACCCGCAGGUGCUCUUCAGGGCGAUGACAGGGUUCUAAAUCGUCACCGGGGUGGCGGUUACGCGGGUGUAUCACUUACUAGACUAUCGAAUUGUACAUUUUAAAUGGAUGCGUUUGGUUGUAUGUAAAUUACACCUCAAUAAAGAUGACUUAAAGAGUAAAAAAAAAAAAAAAUCAAUGAAGACCU
This is an RNA transcript of Neofelis nebulosa (Clouded leopard), 3078 nucleotides long. It is a transcript of the gene named photoreceptor disc component, with no coding region annotated. The record is from RefSeq and is a predicted model, not a curated record. NCBI's taxonomy places the organism in Eukaryota, Metazoa, Chordata, Mammalia, Carnivora, Felidae. The transcript is spliced from 5 exons.